GCUCAGGACGAACGCUGGCGGCGUGCCUAAUACAUGCAAGUCGAGCGGACAGAUGGGAGCUUGCUCCCUGAAGUCAGCGGCGGACGGGUGAGUAACACGUGGGCAACCUGCCUGUAAGACUGGGAUAACUCCGGGAAACCGGGGCUAAUACCGGAUAAUUCUUUYCCUCACAUGARGGAAAGCUGAAAGAUGGUUUCGGCUAUCACUUACAGAUGGGCCCGCGGCGCAUUAGCUAGUUGGUGAGGUAACGGCUCACCAAGGCAACGAUGCGUAGCCGACCUGAGAGGGUGAUCGGCCACACUGGGACUGAGACACGGCCCAGACUCCUACGGGAGGCAGCAGUAGGGAAUCUUCCGCAAUGGACGAAAGUCUGACGGAGCAACGCCGCGUGAGUGAUGAAGGUUUUCGGAUCGUAAAACUCUGUUGUUAGGGAAGAACAAGU
RNAcentral lists this ribosomal RNA (442 nucleotides) under Bacillus sp. R-45943. RNAcentral describes it as "bacterial SSU rRNA". It matches the Rfam family "Bacterial small subunit ribosomal RNA", at positions 22 to 454 of the family's 1533-position model. Lineage: Bacteria; Bacillati; Bacillota; Bacilli; Caryophanales; Bacillaceae. The record is from RNAcentral.